GUUCUGUUUCAGGGCGGAGUGAAAGUCUCCACCGGCAGUGAAUCAGUUUCUGUACUGUAAGUCUGCGAGCCUUAUGGCAUGAUGGGUGAGAAUCCCAACCGACGGUUAAAGUCCGGAUGAAAGAAACAGGUG
RNAcentral lists this non-coding RNA (132 nucleotides) under Butyricicoccus pullicaecorum. RNAcentral describes it as "FMN sequence". It matches the Rfam family "FMN riboswitch aptamer (RFN element)". Rfam says of the family: The RFN element is a highly conserved domain that is found frequently in the 5'-untranslated regions of prokaryotic mRNAs that encode for flavin mononucleotide (FMN) biosynthesis and transport proteins. RNAcentral also lists the same sequence under 1 other name. The record is from RNAcentral. Lineage: Bacteria; Bacillati; Bacillota; Clostridia; Eubacteriales; Butyricicoccaceae.